AUUGAACGCUGGCGGCAUGCCUUACACAUGCAAGUCGAACGGUAACAGGUCUUCGGAUGCUGACGAGUGGCGAACGGGUGAGUAAUACAUCGGAACGUGCCUAGUAGUGGGGGAUAACUACUCGAAAGAGUGGCUAAUACCGCAUGAGAUCUACGGAUGAAAGCAGGGGAUCGCAAGACCUUGUGCUACUAGAGCGGCCGAUGGCAGAUUAGGCAGUUGGUGGGAUAAAAGCUUACCAAGCCGACGAUCUGUAGCUGGUCUGAGAGGACGAUCAGCCACACUGGGACUGAGACACGGCCCAGACUCCUACGGGAGGCAGCAGUGGGGAAUUUUGGACAAUGGGCGAAAGCCUGAUCCAGCAAUGCCGCGUGCAGGAUGAAGGCCUUCGGGUUGUAAACUGCUUUUGUACGGAACGAAAAGCCCCGGGUUAAUACCCUGGGGUCAUGGCGGUACCGUAAGAAUAAGCACCGGCUAACUACGUGCCAGCCGCCGCGGUAA
Molecule: ribosomal RNA, 498 nt
Filed under: uncultured bacterium
Lineage: Bacteria
Description: partial 16S ribosomal RNA
Rfam family: Bacterial small subunit ribosomal RNA
Source: RNAcentral